Molecule: ribosomal RNA, 253 nt
Filed under: uncultured bacterium
Lineage: Bacteria
Description: partial 16S ribosomal RNA
Rfam family: Bacterial small subunit ribosomal RNA
Source: RNAcentral
UACAGAGGUCUCAAGCGUUGUUCGGAUUCAUUGGGCGUAAAGGGCGCGUAGGCGGCCUUCUAAGUCGAACGUGAAAUCCCUGGGCUCAACCCAGGAACUGCGUCCGAUACUGGGAGGCUUGAAUCCGGGAGAGGGAUGCGGAAUUCCAGGUGUAGCGGUGAAAUGCGUAGAUAUCUGGAGGAACACCGGUGGCGAAGGCGGCAUCCUGGACCGGUAUUGACGCUGAGGCGCGAAAGCCAGGGGAGCAAACGGG